UUAGAUACCNUGGUAGUCCACGCCGUAACCGAUGACUANUAGGUUCGGGCAGCAAAGCUGUUCGGUGCCGCAGCAAACGCAAUAAGUAGUCCACNUGGGGAGUACGUUCGCNAAGAAUGAAACUCAAAAGGAAUUGACGGGGACCCGCACAAGCGGUNGGAGCAUGUGGUUUAAUUCGAAGCAACGCGAAGAACCUUACCUGGCCUUGACAUCCCCCCUGGCCGGCUCGUAAUGGGGCCUUUCCUUCGGGACAGGGGAGACAGGUGGUGCAUGGUUGUCGUCAGCUCGUGUCGUGAGAUGUUGGGUUAAGUCCCGCAACGAGCGCAACCCUUAUCUUCAGUAGCCAGCAUUACGGAUGGGCACUCUGGAGAGACUGCCAGGGACAACCUGGAGGAAGGUGGGGAUGACGUCAAAUCAUCAUGCCCCUUAUGGCCAGGGCUACACACGUGCUACAAUGGCGUAAACAAAGGGAAGCAGCCAUGUGAAUGUGAGCAAAUCCCAAAAAUAACGUCUCAGUUCGGAUUGUAGUCUGCAACUCGACUACAUGAAGCUGGAAUCGCUAGUAAUCGCGAAUCAGAAUGUCGCGGUGAAUACGUUCCCGGGUCUUGUACACACCGCCCGUCACACCAUGGGAGUCAGUAACGCCCGAAGCCGGUGACCUAACCGAAAGGGAGGAGCCGUCGAAGGUGGGACCGAUAACUGGGGUGAAGUCGUAACAAGG
This 721-nucleotide ribosomal RNA is filed under the name uncultured bacterium. RNAcentral describes it as "bacterial SSU rRNA". It matches the Rfam family "Bacterial small subunit ribosomal RNA", at positions 778 to 1496 of the family's 1533-position model. The record is from RNAcentral.